UACAGAGGUCUCAAGCGUUGUUCGGAUUCAUUGGGCGUAAAGGGUGCGUAGGUGGCGGGGUUAGUCAGGUGUGAAAUCUCGGGGCUCAACCCCGAAACUGCACUUGAUACUGCCUUGCUAGAGUACUGGAGAGGAGAUUGGAAUUUACGGUGUAGCAGUGAAAUGCGUAGAUAUCGUAAGGAAGACCAGUGGCGAAGGCGAAUCUCUGGACAGUUACUGACGCUGAGGCACGAAGGCCAGGGGAGCAAACAGG
RNAcentral lists this ribosomal RNA (253 nucleotides) under uncultured bacterium. RNAcentral describes it as "partial 16S ribosomal RNA". It matches the Rfam family "Bacterial small subunit ribosomal RNA", at positions 524 to 776 of the family's 1533-position model. The record is from RNAcentral.